UCCGUGGGAGCCUCUCUGGCCCCGCAGUCCCAGCAGCAAACUGCGCUUGGUCGGACGGAUGCCCGCGCGGAGGGAAGUUGAGAAAAAGCAUGUCUUUGGAGGCUGGAAACCUGGAGGUCAUUUCUGAGCAAGAAAUCGGGAAGCCUUCGGGUCUUUGAUCUCUGCUCCCAGCACCUCAGUAGAGAUGGUUCCAGGGAAGAGCCUGAGAGGGAGAUUUAUUCAGUUCCAAAGCCCCAACGGCACCACCCAAACUUGGAAAAAGAAUCAUGUUGAUCACCAGAGAAGGAAUCUCAUGGGAACUAGACUUCGUUCAGGAGGCGCCAGUAACAAAGAGGCUCUGGGAUUGCAUCCUGACCGCCCUGGAGGGAGGACGUGACCAUUGGCACAUGAGGCUAUGAGACAACUAGACAGCCCAGUUCUCAGAGAAGCAUCUCCGUUCUUCCUUCUCCAGGAGUUUAGCUUGGACAGCAGAGACGCACCACAGCGGUGCAGGGCAGAAAGUCCUGUGGUUAGACCGCGCCCCACACUCUCUCACCCACUCCUCCCCACAACUUGCGUCAGACCCGGCUUCGUUUUUAAUUCUCCAGCCUUGGGAAUGACAGACUUAAUUCAGAGGUCUUGCCCUUGCGCCCUCCCCGACCCGGCACCGCGUCCCGAGUCCUGUGGUGCCUGUGGGGCUUGUGUUCACUCAGAGGCCAUCAGACGCUGCGCGCGGUAGUUUUCUUCUCUUUAGAAGGUAGCAAACUGUUUUCAAAGGUGGGAUCUUUACAGACGAAGGAUGCCAAGACCCAUUCCCCAAGAUGCGGGGCUCCGUGGAGUACGGGGUGGGGGAAUGUGUAGGAGGUCUGAUUAGUCUGGUUUCCGGUCAGAGAGCCUCGCAAGCCUAGCCGGCUGAGAGCUGUUCUUUUAGUGGUGCUGAAAAUGAGGCCAACUCUGCCCAUUUGCCUACAAGCUGUCUAUAACUCAGCCACCACCCUCCUUCCUGCUUAGAGUCACAAGCUAAAUGAUUCACUAUUGUCUGGCAACAAAUCCCGGUAACCACCUAAUGGAUCUGAUUGCUUCCAGUAGUAAUCCCCCCCCCCACUCUUUCUCUACUGAGCAUCGAGUGGUUUUUUUCUUUCUCUUACUCUUCGUUGGUUUGAAUGUUUAAAAAUUAUGUUUGUCUA
Long non-coding RNA from Rattus rattus (black rat), 1166 nucleotides. RefSeq lists it as uncharacterized. Lineage: Eukaryota; Metazoa; Chordata; Mammalia; Rodentia; Muridae. The record is from RefSeq and is a predicted model, not a curated record. The transcript is spliced from 2 exons.